This 385-nucleotide unclassified non-coding RNA is filed under the name uncultured fungus. RNAcentral describes it as "partial contains 5.8S ribosomal RNA and internal transcribed spacer 2". The stretch from base 1 to 133 matches the Rfam family "5.8S ribosomal RNA", at positions 22 to 154 of the family's 154-position model. The record is from RNAcentral. Lineage: Eukaryota; Fungi.
UGGCUCUCCCAUCGAUGAAGAACGCAGCGAAAUGCGAUAAGUAAUGUGAAUUGCAGAAUUCAGUGAAUCAUCGAAUCUUUGAACGCACCUUGCGCCCUUUGGUAUUCCGAAGGGCAUGCCUGUUUGAGUGUCAUUAAAUUCUCAACCUUAUAGCUUUUGCGAGUUUUAUAAGGCUUGGAUGUGAGGGUUAUUGCUGGCUUCCUUCAGUGUGAUGGUCAGCUCCCUUUAAAUGUAUUAGUGGAAUCCUUUGUGGAUCGUCACUGAGUGUGAUAAUUUUGCGCUCCUUGACUUGAACUACUCAUUAAUGGAAUCUGCUUAUAACCGUCCUUCAGUUGGACAAUUUCAUUGACAAUUUGACCUCAAAUCAGGUAGGACUACCCGCUGA